GGAUUAAUUUAUCGGUCGUGCAAUAGUACGUACUGGUAUUAUUGAUUCCUACCUUCUGACGAACCAUGAUGUCAUUAAUUUGGUGUCAUGGGGAAUCAGGACUGUUACUUUGAAAAAAUUAGAGUGUUUAAAGCAGGCUCACGCUUGAAUACAUUAGCAUGGAAUAACGAAAUAGGACGUUUGAUUCUAUUUUGUUGGUUUCUAGGAUCGACGUA
This 215-nucleotide ribosomal RNA is filed under the name uncultured Glomus. RNAcentral describes it as "partial 18S rRNA". The stretch from base 37 to 215 matches the Rfam family "Eukaryotic small subunit ribosomal RNA", at positions 684 to 864 of the family's 1831-position model. Lineage: Eukaryota; Fungi; Glomeromycota; Glomeromycetes; Glomerales; Glomeraceae. The record is from RNAcentral.